Molecule: long non-coding RNA, 735 nt
Organism: Apodemus sylvaticus (European woodmouse)
Lineage: Eukaryota; Metazoa; Chordata; Mammalia; Rodentia; Muridae
Exons: 4
Source: RefSeq, a predicted model, not a curated record
AGGAAGAAGCAUCGACAACGACUUGCUCGCUGGCUGCUACCUCCUCCUCCCCCUUCCCUUUGCCCCUCCUCCUCCCCCUUCCCUUUGCCUCUUCUCCCAGAUUUGGGAUGAGGGAGGGGGCAUCAGCAAUGGAAAGAUUCAGUUCCUCUCUCUUUCUCAGGACAGACCGACCCCGUUCCGUUCCUGAGACCUUUAGACGUGUAUAUUAUCUCUAUUUUGGAUGGCUACAGCUAGGCAGGAACCAGCUUAUUUCGCCUGUUUGAUGCUCUACCAAGAAGACACUUGCCACAUGUCAGCCCCUCAUAUGAACUUCCAAGCAUCCAGAACUAUUAACCAACAAAUCUCUGUUCAUCAUAACUUACUCAGUGCGGAGAUGUAGAACUCUCGGCUCCUGCUGCACCAUGCCUGCCUGGAUGCUGUCAUGUCCCUGCCUUGAUGAUACUGGACUGAACCUCUGAACCUGCUCUGUCUGCAUGUCUCGCACUUCUGACCCUCGGAAAGACACCCUGUGAACAGUUGCUGCCCAGCAGCUUGGCCGAGGUGGAAGGGGAAAAUGGGGUGAGCAUUUACUGAAACUGGGCAGGCUGAAGUGGAAAUCCCCAAAGAGAAAGAUGCAAAGCAAACUGUUUCUAGCAAGGAUGGAGAAAUCUUAGAACCGAAGCAGAUGCAGGCACAAGAGCACGAUGCAAAAUUAAUUCUAUGCUGAAAGGAAAAUGUGAAGACUAUAUCCCCAGA